CAGUCGCCACGGUAAUACGAAGGGUGCAAGCGUUACUCGGAAUUACUGGGCGUAAAGCGUGUGUAGGUGGUUGUUUAAGUCUGUCGUGAAAGCCCUGGGCUCAACCUGGGAAUUGCGAUGGAUACUGGGCGACUAGAGUGCGGUAGAGGAUAGUGGAAUUUCCGGUGUAGCAGUGAAAUGCGUAGAGAUCGGAAGGAACAUCUGUGGCGAAGGCGACUAUCUGGGCCAACACUGACACUGAGACACGAAAGCGUGGGGAGCAAACCGGAUUAGAUACCCCGGUAGUCCCUGUCUCUUAUAC
Molecule: ribosomal RNA, 301 nt
Filed under: uncultured bacterium
Lineage: Bacteria
Description: partial 16S ribosomal RNA
Rfam family: Bacterial small subunit ribosomal RNA
Source: RNAcentral